Molecule: ribosomal RNA, 481 nt
Filed under: Amemboa sexualis
Lineage: Eukaryota; Metazoa; Arthropoda; Insecta; Hemiptera; Gerridae
Description: partial 16S ribosomal RNA
Source: RNAcentral
UUUUAAUCCAACAUCGAGGUCGCAAACUUUUUCAUCGAUAUGAACUCUCCAAAAAAAUUACGCUGUUAUCCCUAUGGUAAGUUAAUCUUAUAAUCAAAAAUUUUGGAUCAAAAAAACAUAAAUUAAUGAAAAAAAUUAUUAAAAGUUAAAUAAAUUUUAAUGUCACCCCAACAAAACUUUAUAUUCUAAAAUAAAAUUUAAUAAACAAAAAAUUUAAAUUUAUAAAUAAAGUUAACUUCAAUAGGGUCUUCUCGUCCUAUAAUAAAAUUUUAGCUUUUUAACUAAAAAAUUAAAUUAAAUUAAAUUAAUAUAAAGAAAGAAUAUUUUUCAUCAAACCAUUCAUUCUAGCCUUCAAUUAAAAGACAAGUGAUUAUGCUACCUUCGUACAGUUAAAAUACCGCAGCCUUUUAAUUCAAAAAAAUCAAUGGGCAGGCCUGAUCUUAAAUAAAAUUCAAAAGACCAUGUUUUUGUUAAACAGGCG